CUCAAAGCCUCAAAGAAAGGAUCAGCUGUAAUUAUAAUUUCUAAUGUGAUUGUUUAAACUGCUCUUAAAGCCCUCCAGUGGUGGAGACUCCCGAACCAUCUGGAGCCAUCCUUUCCAACCUAGAGCAGCCCUGACAUUUGGAUGGAAAACUCAUUCUAAUGGCUAAUUUCAGUAUUUUAUUUGGUAUUCUAAGCUUGUUAAUAUUACUACUGCUGAGCUGUCCAGUGUGAAUGUGGAAAAAAGAUUAUUCCUCUUUGCAGUAAAUUUACAUGUACUUAAAAACAACACAUUUAAUUAUCUACCUUCCCUUCGUUAGAGAAACUCUAUUCUCAUGCUUUUCAUUGCAUUCUUUGUAAUUGGGCCAUAUUUAUUGAAGGACAGUAUCCAAAACAGGGCAGAAAGUCACAUGUAAAUACCCGUCAUGUUUCUGUAGUAUCACAGCAUGAGACAGCAGACCUGUGUUUUUCUAUCUUCCUGGAGAGCUCCUGUGCAGUCAGCUGGGUCAGGAGCACUGCCUUUCAUGUAGCGCUUGAGGUGCUUUGCACAGGACUGUGCUGGAAGGGCUAAGCUCAGCUGUACUCAGUGCCACAUAAUGCUGGUCCUGUGGGAAAAAGGCUGCAUGGAAAGGAAAAUCUAGUUCCAGUGGUUGAAUAAAGCUCAGGCUGUUGCAAAUGAGAGUGUUUAAAUAUAGUGCAUUUGAGAGCAAAGCUUCUUGAGUUAUCAUACUCCCAACACGUUUUCUCUUUCCAUUUUAAUUAACAGGUUCUGUCUGCACUAUGCUAUUUUAUGAAUGAGACCUAACUCUCUGCACAGGCAGUUAUUUCCUUUGCACUGUGUGCAGACUUUACCAGGCUAGGACAGCGCUUCACACAUGUGAAUACCAGUGUAAGGUUAAAAGUAAAGGAUGAUCAAACUCAGUUUUGCCUAAAGCAUUCCUUCUUUGUGUAGUUUUAAGCCACAUUUG
Molecule: long non-coding RNA, 964 nt
Filed under: Gallus gallus (chicken)
Lineage: Eukaryota; Metazoa; Chordata; Aves; Galliformes; Phasianidae
Source: RNAcentral